UAGAGUUUUGAUCNUGGCUCAGGAUNAANGCUGGCGGNGUGCCUAAUACAUGCAAGUCGAGCGAACAGAUAAGGAGCUUGCUCCUUUGAAGUUANCGGCGGACGGGUGAGUAACACGUGGGUAACCUACCUAUAAGACUGGGAUAACUUCGGGAAACCGGAGCUAAUACCGGAUAACAUUUAGAACCGCAUGGUUUUAAAGUGAAANAUGGUUUUGCUAUCACUUAUAGAUGGACCCGCGCCGUAUUAGCUAGUUGGUAAGGUAACGGCUUACCAAGGCGACGAUACGUAGCCGACCUGAGAGGGUGAUCGGCCNCACUGGAACUGAGACACGGUCCAGACUCCCACGGGAGGCAGCAGUAGGGAAUCUUCUGCAAUGGGCGAAAGCCUGACGGAGCAACAGCCGCGUGAGUGAUGAAGGGUUUCGGCUCGUAAAACUNCUGUUAUUAGGGAAGAACAAAUGUGUAAGUAACUGUGCACUNCUUGUACGUGUACGCUA
This 498-nucleotide ribosomal RNA is filed under the name Staphylococcus xylosus. RNAcentral's name for it is "bacterial SSU rRNA". It matches the Rfam family "Bacterial small subunit ribosomal RNA", at positions 1 to 499 of the family's 1533-position model. The record is from RNAcentral. Lineage: Bacteria; Bacillati; Bacillota; Bacilli; Caryophanales; Staphylococcaceae.